GACGAACGCUGGCGGCGUGCUUAACACAUGCAAGUCGAACGCCGACGCUCAGCUUUUGUUGGGUGGCUGAGUGGCGAGCGGGUGAGUAACACGUGAGUAACCUGCCCCCUCCUUUGGGAUAACGCCCGGAAACGGGUGCUAAUACUGGAUAUUCACUGGUCUUCGCAUGGGGGUUGGUGGAAAGGGUUUUUCUGGUGGGGGAUGGGCUCGCGGCCUAUCAGCUUGUUGGUGGGGUGAUGGCCGACCAAGGCUUUGACGGGUAGCCGGCCUGUGAGGGUGACCGGUCACAUUGGGACUGAGAUACGGCCCAGACUCCUACGGGAGGCAGCAGUGGGGAAUAUGGCACAAUGGGCGCAAGCCUGAUGCAGCGACGCAGAGUGAGGGAUGGAGGCCGUCGGGUUGGGAACCUCUUUCGCUCAUGGUCAAGCCGCAACAAUGGUUGUGGUGAGGGUAGUGGGUAAAGAAGCGCCGGCUAACUACGUG
RNAcentral lists this ribosomal RNA (483 nucleotides) under uncultured bacterium. RNAcentral's name for it is "partial 16S ribosomal RNA". It matches the Rfam family "Bacterial small subunit ribosomal RNA", at positions 28 to 507 of the family's 1533-position model. The record is from RNAcentral.